CUCUGACUCUCGGGAGGGAGAGGAAGCAGCCGGGGAAAGCAAGUCUAAAGUCAACGGUGGAUUCCAGAGAGAUGGGGACUUGGCCUGACGGUGAGAAAGAAAAAGCCUAGAUAAUGUUUAGAGCAUUUGAGUGUGAAGGCUCAGCUCCACUUUCCAAGAUGGAGCUCAGGGAGAUGAAAAAUCCUUAGUGUAGAAAUGGAUGCACCAAGCCCUCCGCCCCCCAUCACAGCUGAUUUCCAGUGAGGAAGGCUCUCCCGCAUGGGAUGGGGCAGGGUUAGCAAGAGAGAGCUGGACCUGAAGGAGUCAUGUGUCCUGGGACAAUUAGGGACCAGCAGUGGAUGAAACAAGAGCCCUGAUGUCACCAGCCCCAAGAAGCCCCAACUCUCAGUACCCUGGGUGCAAAUAAGCUCCUCCUGCUUGGAAUUUAGAGAAAG
This 434-nucleotide long non-coding RNA is filed under the name Homo sapiens (human). RNAcentral describes it as "HSALNT0197168". The record is from RNAcentral. Lineage: Eukaryota; Metazoa; Chordata; Mammalia; Primates; Hominidae.